This is a long non-coding RNA of Girardinichthys multiradiatus, 1077 nucleotides long. RefSeq lists it as uncharacterized. The transcript is spliced from 4 exons. The record is from RefSeq and is a predicted model, not a curated record. NCBI's taxonomy places the organism in Eukaryota, Metazoa, Chordata, Actinopteri, Cyprinodontiformes, Goodeidae.
ACGACAUACACACAGCUUUCUUAAUAUGUGCGAUUGUAUUCACAGGAGAUGAAAAAUCCAGUGUCCUCCAUAUUCGUGUUAACAGCUUGAAAAUGGUACGCUUUCUCUGAUUACUCUCUCACUAUUUUAUCACAGACAUUGAAGACCAAGUUUCCUCUGUCAUCAAGCAAAACCUGUUUCAUCAACCGAGUGACUGCAGUAUAGGGUAAUCCACCAAUAUCUUUCCUUCACCAUCAUUGAUUGCUCUCUCUCUCUGGUCAUCACAGAAAUUCAAGACAAUUCAGACCGACAACCUUGAUGCGAAAAGAGUGCCUCUGUCAGGCGUUGUCGGUCUACCUGAACAAAGACCCGGAGAAAGUGGUGAAAGAACGCAUGGACUCUGAUGUUGACAAGGGUUAAGCCGAAAUGGAGACUGUCUUCGGAGUAUUUGUGAUUCGCAGAGAAGGUGCAGAACGUGAUGAUGGUCCAGAGGAUGUGGGCAUCAUUUUGGAGGGGGUACAAGUUCUCAAUGAGCUGGGUAAUGUAGCAGUAGCAGUUGCAAUGCUGUUCACAUUAGUUUAUGCACUCAAUCUCAGCUACCCCUCAGAGUGGAAAUACACUUUCGAAGCUCUGCAGAAACUCAUCAUGGGGCUUGAUGGACAGAGGUUGUCUAAGAAACUGCAGGUGCUGAAAACCCUACUUACGCGUUAAUAUUUUGUUGGGUAGCUGUUAGAGGUCUUCAACAACGAAAGUAUCCCAGAGUCAUGUUGGGGAGGCAGGUGGGGAGUCGUUCAGUCAAUAUUAGUGUUUUAAAAUGACAGUCUGUUUUUAUGUUUCAAUGCUCCCAGUUGUUGCAAAAAUGUGGAGAAGCCUUCUGUUCCGUGUUAAUCUAUUUCUGUGUUAACAAUGCUUCAAAUUGUUGCCUUGUUUGAAUUUGAAGGACAUGUGUAUGAGUAUUUCAGACUAUUUUUCCAUUAAAAAAGAAAGAUGACAAUAGGUAAAUCUGUUUCAUCUGAUUUUGAAUUUUAAAAUGAGACUGAAUUUUUAGCAUUGCAUAUUAUAGCAUUGAAAGACUCGUACUCGUCAUCUUCUGCUUCA